Molecule: transfer-messenger RNA, 402 nt
Filed under: Epibacterium sp. DP7N7-1
Lineage: Bacteria; Pseudomonadati; Pseudomonadota; Alphaproteobacteria; Rhodobacterales; Roseobacteraceae
Rfam family: Alphaproteobacteria transfer-messenger RNA
About the family: Bacterial tmRNA, also known as 10Sa RNA or SsrA, is named for its dual tRNA and mRNA-like properties. Its role is to liberate the mRNA from a stalled ribosome. To accomplish this part of the tmRNA is used as a reading frame that ends in a translation stop signal.
Source: RNAcentral
ACACUUGUGUUGCACUCAUGAAUAUGCGAAAACACGUCUCGUCAGGAAACUGACUAUGAGCAUAAACGCGCUCGGAAUAGACGUUCAGGACUGGGGGGCGGUACCCCACAGCUCCACCAUAGGCAUACAUGGCCCCGUUGAUGGGUUGGACUUCGUGUCAAUGAAGGCGAAUUUGGUAUGUCUUUGAUGGGGCUGAAAUAGGAUCGACUGGCGUUCAAAGGUGUUAGCUUUGCUUCGGUGAGAUACCACCGUUAUCGGUUCAAAACGCACAACUGCAAACGCAAACCGUGCUCCCGCAUUCGCCCAGGCUGCCUAAGGCAGCCCGCGCAAGCGGAACCUAAGCCCUCUCGGUUAGCACCGUGAGGCGGGGCCUCAGGGAGCCUGGCAACAGAAUCCCUGACU